RNAcentral lists this ribosomal RNA (374 nucleotides) under uncultured bacterium. Its description in RNAcentral is "bacterial SSU rRNA". It matches the Rfam family "Bacterial small subunit ribosomal RNA", at positions 138 to 507 of the family's 1533-position model. The record is from RNAcentral.
GGGGGACAACGGUCCGAAAGGACCGCUAAUACCGCAUACGUUCUUGGGACUUUGGCUUGGGAAGGAAAGCUGGGCAACUGGCGCUAAAUGAGAAGCCUGCGUCGCAUCAGCUAGUUGGUGGGGUAAUGGCCUACCAAGGCGAAGACGCGUAGCUGGUCUGAGAGGAUGAUCAGCCACACUGGAACUGAGACACGGUCCAGACUCCUACGGGAGGCAGCAGUGGGAAUAUUGGACAAUGGGCGCAAGCCUGAUCCAGCCACGCCGCGUGAGUGAUGAAGGCCUUCGGGUCGUAAAGCUCUGUGGGGAGAGACGAACCGCUGGGGUAACCCUUCAGCAUGACGGUAUCUCCUUAGCAAGCACCGGCUAACUUCGUG